UCCCUGGUGGCUCAGAUGGUAAAGAAUCUGCCUGCAAUGCAGGAGACCCAGGUUCCAUCCCUGGGUCGGGAA
RNAcentral lists this transfer RNA (72 nucleotides) under Ovis aries (sheep). It matches the Rfam family "tRNA". From Rfam's summary of the family: Transfer RNA (tRNA) molecules are approximately 80 nucleotides in length. Their secondary structure includes four short double-helical elements and three loops (D, anti-codon, and T loops). Further hydrogen bonds mediate the characteristic L-shaped molecular structure. tRNAs have two regions of fundamental functional importance: the anti-codon, which is responsible for specific mRNA codon recognition, and the 3' end, to which the tRNAs corresponding amino acid is attached (by aminoacyl-tRNA synthetases). tRNAs cope with the degeneracy of the genetic code in two manners: having more than one tRNA (with a specific anti-codon) for a particular amino acid; and 'wobble' base-pairing, i.e. permitting non-standard base-pairing at the 3rd anti-codon position. The record is from Rfam by way of RNAcentral. Lineage: Eukaryota; Metazoa; Chordata; Mammalia; Artiodactyla; Bovidae.